GAUGAACGCUGGCGGCGUGCCUAAUACAUGCAAGUCGAGCGAACAGACGAGGAGCUUGCUCCUCUGACGUUAGCGGCGGACGGGUGAGUAACACGUGGAUAACCUACCUAUAAGACUGGGAUAACUUCGGGAAACCGGAGCUAAUACCGGAUAAUAUAUUGAACCGCAUGGUUCAAUAGUGAAAGACGGUUUUGCUGUCACUUAUAGAUGGAUCCGCGCCGCAUUAGCUAGUUGGUAAGGUAACGGCUUACCAAGGCGACGAUGCGUAGCCGACCUGAGAGGGUGAUCGGCCACACUGGAACGGGGACACGUCCCAGCUCCCUACGGGAGGCAGCGGUGGGAAUCCUCCGGAAAUGGGGGAAGGCUGAAGGGGGAAACGCCGCGGGGGUAAUAAAGGCCUUCGGUUCGAAAAACCCUUUAAUAGGGGAAAAACAAAGUUGUAGGUAACUAUGCACGUCUUAACGUUACCUAAUCAAAAAGCCAGGGCUAACUACGG
RNAcentral lists this ribosomal RNA (496 nucleotides) under uncultured bacterium. RNAcentral describes it as "partial 16S ribosomal RNA". It matches the Rfam family "Bacterial small subunit ribosomal RNA", at positions 28 to 506 of the family's 1533-position model. The record is from RNAcentral.